GAGAAUAUCAGUCUAUUUUUAAGUUUAAGCGCGUUUGGUGGCGUUCCCCGGUGUUUUAUCAAGGGUGUGGGUUAGAUCAGCGUGGUUUUUGGUGCCUGAUUAAUUAAGCGUGUGACGCCGCGCCUCAGAAAAGAACGGCCCGGCCGCGUCACUCGGCCAAACUGUGAGCGCGCCCGUCUGCCGGUCAGACAGACAGACAUUGUUCUACUCCAGGAAUCAGACUUUGCCAGCUCCAGCCGGCCAGGCGCGGCCGAGCCGCCCCGUGACGGAAUCAUUAGUCCUUUGAGUUGAAGAAUUGCUUUGUGCCGGUCCAGUAACGAGUCCAGUCAGGGGCAAGGUGUGUUGCACGGGGGCACCUCACUCGCCUCUCCUCUCCUCUCACUUGUCAAGGAAUCAAAAAUUGAUUGUUCACCAGUCACAUUACUGCUCAGAUUUGAGAAUUUGAAGUAAACGUUUGAUUGUUCACCAGUCAAAUACGUAAACUGAGAGUCUGCCACGCGAGGCGGCGCGGCGGCACCACUAACGUCACCAGUCCUGCACCGCGGCAGA
Long non-coding RNA from Scylla paramamosain (green mud crab), 549 nucleotides. RefSeq lists it as uncharacterized. The transcript is spliced from 2 exons. The record is from RefSeq and is a predicted model, not a curated record. NCBI's taxonomy places the organism in Eukaryota, Metazoa, Arthropoda, Malacostraca, Decapoda, Portunidae.